This 399-nucleotide RNase P RNA is filed under the name Bacteroidaceae bacterium. RNAcentral describes it as "RNase P RNA component class A". It matches the Rfam family "Bacterial RNase P class A". Rfam says of the family: Ribonuclease P (RNase P) is a ubiquitous endoribonuclease, found in archaea, bacteria and eukarya as well as chloroplasts and mitochondria. Its best characterised activity is the generation of mature 5'-ends of tRNAs by cleaving the 5'-leader elements of precursor-tRNAs. The record is from RNAcentral. Lineage: Bacteria; Pseudomonadati; Bacteroidota; Bacteroidia; Bacteroidales; Bacteroidaceae.
ACAGACGGGCAGCCUAUCGCGUGCAUCCAUAUUUUAGUUGUAAGUGGUGCAGGAGGAAAGUCCGGGCAGCAUAGAGCGCUUUGCUUCUUAAUGGGAAGUAGUCCGUGAGGGUUAAAACGUGCAGAAGAAAAUAACCGCCUUAAUUGGUAAGGGUGAGAAGGUGAGGUAAGAGCUCACCAGCCGUGUGGCGACACACGGGCUGUGCACUUCAAAGGCUGAAAGUUCAUGUAAACCAACGAUUGAGGGUUGCUCGCCUGAGUUUUUUUAUCGUUUUUCGAUAAUGAUGCGUUGGAGGGUAGAACGAUACAAUGUGUCAGCAAUGGCGCAUGCGGAUAAAUGAUAGGCAGUAGUUUAUUCUUUAAGCUACUACAGAACCCGGCUUAUCGCUCGUCUGUUUUU